ACACGACUCUCGGCAACGGAUAUCUCGGCUCUCGCAUCGAUGAAGAACGUAGCGAAAUGCGAUACCUGGUGUGAAUUGCARAAUCCCGCGAACCAUCGAGUCUUUGAACGCAAGUUGCGCCCRAGGCCACCUGGCYGAGGGCACGCCUGCCUGGGCGUCACGC
This 163-nucleotide ribosomal RNA is filed under the name Arctagrostis latifolia. RNAcentral's name for it is "5.8S ribosomal RNA". It matches the Rfam family "5.8S ribosomal RNA". Rfam says of the family: 5.8S ribosomal RNA (5.8S rRNA) is a component of the large subunit of the eukaryotic ribosome. It is transcribed by RNA polymerase I as part of the 45S precursor that also contains 18S and 28S rRNA. Lineage: Eukaryota; Viridiplantae; Streptophyta; Magnoliopsida; Poales; Poaceae. The record is from RNAcentral.